UAGAUAAAUAGAUAAAUAUACUAAAGACAUUGGUAACAUAAUGCUUUCUAGAUCGUAAAUUUUGAUAACAUGUAAUCUAGUGCAUAUAAUGGCCAUAAAAUAAAGUAUGAAUUUUAGCGAAUAAUAAGAAUUUCUAAUAACUUUUAAGCACAAAAAUAUGGAAAACAUUCUGAUACAAUGACGGUGGUUGCUCAAAGCUCGUCAGCACUAACGGUCCUGGGUUAAAAACUGUUUGGUUCGUGUCAGUAGAGAGUUUAAGUUCGACUUCCAAUACCAAUACCGAUACCAAUGUUUUCACUUCCGUUCUGAUUUUGGUACCGGGAAUUUUAAAGCGUUAAGUUAUCACGACAGAUAAAGUAUACAACACAUUAAUCGUCACCGAAAAUGUUCGGCAUAUUAAACGGCAGCUGAGCUAAAAUUUCGACUAAAACAUGACUCAGGCGAUGCUAAUAAACAAAUAGUUUACAUGUUUAUUGUAAAAAUUAUGAAAUAUCCGAUUUAUAUGAGUUUAUCUCCCAAUUCCCCCGACUUCCAAUACAAGGCCGACUUCGGUAGUGGCGACUUCCAAUACACUUGUCCUCGUGCUUGUUGCGAGCAGAGAGCAUGCGCAUGAAAUGUUGUUAGUAUCGGUAUUGGUAUCGGAAGUCGAACUUAAACUCUCUAGUGGCGAAGCCAGCCCGACAAUUUGGUCAUGCUAUGCAAAUAUUUCCGUGUUCAUAAACC
Non-coding RNA from Paramuricea clavata, 723 nucleotides. The record is from the annotation of a GenBank genome assembly. NCBI's taxonomy places the organism in Eukaryota, Metazoa, Cnidaria, Anthozoa, Malacalcyonacea, Plexauridae.